AGCGAACGCUGGCGGCAGGCUUAACACAUGCAAGUCGAACGGGCACUUCGGUGCUAGUGGCAGACGGGUGAGUAACGCGUGGGAACGUGCCUUUCGGUUCGGAAUAAUCCAGGGAAACUUGGACUAAUACCGGAUACGCCCUUCGGGGGAAAGAUUUAUCGCAGAAUGAUGGAUCCGCUCUAGAUUAGUUAGUUGGUGAGGUAAAGGCUCACCAAGGCUACGAUCUAUAUCUGGUUUGAGAGGAUGAUCAGACACACUGGGACUGAGACACGGCCCAGACUCCUACGGGAGGCAGCAGUGGGGAAUAUUGGACAAUGGGCGCAAGCCUGAUCCAGCGAUGCCGCGUGAGUGAUGAAGGCCUUAGGGUUGUAAAACUCUUUCAGAUGGGAAGAUAAUGACUGUACCAUCAGAAGAAGCCCCGGCUAACUCCGUGCCAGCAGCCGCGGUAAUACGGAGGGGGCUAGCAUUGUUCGGAAUUACUGGGCGUAAAGCGUACGUGGGCGGAUCAGAAAGUAUGGGGUGAGAUCCCAGGGCUCAACCCUGGAACUGCCUCAUAAACUCCUGGUCUAGAGUUCGAGAGAGGUGAGUGGAAUUCCGAGUGUAGAGGUGAAAGUCGUAGAUAUUCGGAGGAACACCAGUGGCGAAGGCGGCUCACUGGCUCGAUACUGACGCUGAGGUACGAAAGUGUGGGGAGCAAACAGGAUUAGAUACCCUGGUAGUCCACACCGUAAACGAUGAAUGCCAGUCGUCUGGUAGCAUGCUAUUCGGUGACACACCUAACGGAUUAAGCAUUCCGCCUGGGGAGUACGGUCGCAAGAUUAAAGCUCAAAGGAAUUGACGGGGGCCCGCACAAGCGGUGGAGCAUGUGGUUUAAUUCGAAACAACGCGCAGAACCUUACCAACCCUUGACAUGGAUAUCGCGGAACCGGAGACGGUUCUUUCAGUUCGGCUGGAUAUCACACAGGUGCUGCAUGGCUGUCGUCAGCUCGUGUCGUGAGAUGUUCGGUUAAGUCCGGCAACGAGCGCAACCCACACUCUUAGUUGCCAGCAUUCAGUUGGGCACUCUAGGAGAACUGCCGGUGAUAAGCCGGAGGAAGGUGUGGAUGACGUCAAGUCCUCAUGGCCCUUACGGGUUGGGCUACACACGUGCUACAAUGGUAGUGACAAUGGGUUAAUCCCAAAAAGCUAUCUCAGUUCGGAUUGGGGUCUGCAACUCGACCCCAUGAAGUCGGAAUCGCUAGUAAUCGCGUAACAGCAUGACGCGGUGAAUACGUUCCCGGGCCU
RNAcentral lists this ribosomal RNA (1284 nucleotides) under uncultured prokaryote. RNAcentral describes it as "partial 16S ribosomal RNA". It matches the Rfam family "Bacterial small subunit ribosomal RNA", at positions 28 to 1381 of the family's 1533-position model. The record is from RNAcentral.